CGCCGAGCUUGGGCACCGGGGGGGUUGGCGUGCUUGUACACUUGCUCCGUUUUCUCUAAACUGCCGCGAUGAAUGUCAGUCCCCAGAGCCGGAACCGUUCCCGGUUUUCUCUACUUGGAUCUGAGAACUCUGUCCCUCCAGUCCUGCGAGCGCUUUGCCAGGGUGACGGGCGGAAAUGUCCCCGCAUCCGUGCCUGCUUUCCCAGACGGGACCCCCCAGCAGUCCCCUCCACUGCCCUUGCUUCCUCCUAACCACUUCCCCCCAGCGACCGCGGAAGGCGCUUCCUCCCCCGCAGCGCGAGCCCCAAGCUCCUCCAGAGCCCCAGCUCUCCCCGCCCCCUUCCCGACCUUGUUUCAUAUGACCCCUCCCCCGCACAUACUCAAUUUCAUCUUCCCAAGGCGCCCACUCUCCACAUCCUGAUGAAAAAAAGAGCCGGCUGCUGUCCUAUGUUAUUGUCAUACUUCUUUCCUCCCGUGCACUACACAAUUUGAACAACUUUUUUUUUUCUUUUUUUGAGAAAAGGUCUCGAACUGUCGCCCAGGCUGGAGUACAGUGGCACGAUGAUGGCCCACUGCAGCCUCGCCCUCUCUGGGCACAGGUGAUCCUCCUGCCUCAGCUUCCUAAGAAGCUGGUACUACAGGCGGG
RNAcentral lists this long non-coding RNA (645 nucleotides) under Pan troglodytes (chimpanzee). Its description in RNAcentral is "long non-coding RNA NONPTRT010533". Lineage: Eukaryota; Metazoa; Chordata; Mammalia; Primates; Hominidae. The record is from RNAcentral.